UCGGGAAUAUUGCGCAAUGGAGGAAACUCUGACGCAGUGACGCCGCGUGCAGGAAGAGGGUUUUCGGAUUGUAAACUGCUUUAGACAGGGAAGAUGAUGACAGUACCUGUAGAAUAAGCUCCGGCUAACUACGUGCCAGCAGCCGCGGUAAUACGUAGGGAGCAAGCGUUAUCCGGAUUUAUUGGGUGUAAAGGGUGCGUAGACGGGAAGGCAAGUUGGUUGUGAAAUCCCUCGGCUUAACUGAGGAACUGCAACCAAAACUAUCUUUCUUGAGUGCUGGAGAGGAAAGUGGAAUUCCUAGUGUAGCGGUGAAAUGCGUAGAUAUUAGGAGGAACACCAGUGGCGAAGGCGACUUUCUGGACAGUAACUGACGUUGAGGCACGAAAGUGUGGGGAGCAAACAGGAUUAGAUACCC
RNAcentral lists this ribosomal RNA (415 nucleotides) under uncultured bacterium. RNAcentral describes it as "bacterial SSU rRNA". It matches the Rfam family "Bacterial small subunit ribosomal RNA", at positions 355 to 787 of the family's 1533-position model. The record is from RNAcentral.